GAGCUCGUAGUAUAGUGGUAUUAUGCUCGCUUAGGGUGCGAGAGGUCGUGGGUUCAAUUCCCGCCGAGCUCC
Capsaspora owczarzaki ATCC 30864 is the source of this 72-nucleotide transfer RNA. It matches the Rfam family "tRNA". Rfam says of the family: Transfer RNA (tRNA) molecules are approximately 80 nucleotides in length. Their secondary structure includes four short double-helical elements and three loops (D, anti-codon, and T loops). Further hydrogen bonds mediate the characteristic L-shaped molecular structure. tRNAs have two regions of fundamental functional importance: the anti-codon, which is responsible for specific mRNA codon recognition, and the 3' end, to which the tRNAs corresponding amino acid is attached (by aminoacyl-tRNA synthetases). tRNAs cope with the degeneracy of the genetic code in two manners: having more than one tRNA (with a specific anti-codon) for a particular amino acid; and 'wobble' base-pairing, i.e. permitting non-standard base-pairing at the 3rd anti-codon position. Lineage: Eukaryota; Filasterea; Ministeriida; Capsasporidae. The record is from Rfam.